AGAACGAACGCUGGCGGCAUGCCUAACACAUGCAAGUCGAACGUGAUCCAUGACUUCGGUUGUGGUGAAAGUGGCAAACGGGUGAGUAACGCGUGGGAAUCUGCCCAGAGGUAGGGAAUAACCGCGGGAAACUGCGGCUAAUACCCUAUGUGCCCUACGGGGCAAAGAUUUAUCGCCUUUGGAGGAGCCCGCGUCGGAUUAGGUAGUUGGUAGGGUAACGGCCUACCAAGCCUACGAUCCGUAGCUGGUCUGAGAGGAUGAUCAGCCACACUGGGACUGAGAUACGGCCCAGACUCCUACGGGAGGCAGCAGUGGGAAUAUUGGACAAUGGGGGCAACCCUGAUCCAGCAAUGCCGCGUGAGUGAUGAAGGCCUUCGGGUUGUAAAGCUCGUUUCGGCGGGAAGAUGAUGACGGUACCGCAGAAGAAGCCCCGGCUAACUUCGUGCCAGCAGCCGC
Molecule: ribosomal RNA, 456 nt
Filed under: uncultured bacterium
Lineage: Bacteria
Description: SSU rRNA
Rfam family: Bacterial small subunit ribosomal RNA
Source: RNAcentral